Molecule: unclassified non-coding RNA, 361 nt
Filed under: soil metagenome
Description: partial contains 5.8S ribosomal RNA, internal transcribed spacer 2, and large subunit ribosomal RNA
Rfam family: 5.8S ribosomal RNA (bases 1-120)
Source: RNAcentral
GAUGAAGAACGUAGCGAAAUGCGAUAAGUAAUGUGAAUUGCAGAAUUCAGUGAAUCAUCGAAUCUUUGAACGCACAUUGCGCCCGGUAGUAAUCUGCCGGGCAUGCCUGUCCGAGCGUCAUUUCAACCCUCGAACCACUAUUCGCGUAGCUGGAUCGGUGUUGGGGCACUACGGUGGAAUACCCGUAGGCCCCGAAAUGAAGUGGCGGUCCCGCCGCGGCGCCCCCAUGCGUAGUAACAUCUCGUCUCGCAUCGGGUCCCGGCGGAGGCCUGCCGUCAAGCCUAUUUUCUAAUUACAGAUGGUUUGACCUGGGAUCAGGUAGGGUUACCCGCUGAACUUAAGCAUAUCAAUAAGCGGAGGA